This 1275-nucleotide long non-coding RNA is filed under the name Phocoena sinus (vaquita). Its description in RNAcentral is "lncRNA (ENSPSNG00000021215.1)". The record is from RNAcentral. Lineage: Eukaryota; Metazoa; Chordata; Mammalia; Artiodactyla; Phocoenidae.
UACUGAAAUGGGAAAGUACCUACAAAAGCAUAUUGCUUUUUCAGAUUAUAAAGUUAUCUUUUCUAAUAACUUGACUAUUGUAAAUUUUAAGGGAGUUUAGUGGACCUCAGAGCCAUACCUUUCCUGACAUCUCAUCUGUGAUACCUGUUUCCAGAAGCUGACUUCACAGGGUUUCGGGGGCAGGCGGCCACGUGUUUCUGUGCAUGGCUGUGUCAGCUCGUCUCUGGAAUGUUGAGAAACACCAGACUUAACUACAGGUGCAUCUUUCUCUUGUCAUGAAGAAAUUUGAAUUACAAAUUCCAACCAGGAAACAAAAACACAUUUCUUUGUUUUGCUCAGUGUUUAGGUAUCCCCUUACAUGUUCCCCCCACCCCCAAACAUGAUUAAAAGCAACAUCUGAAUAGAAAUUGUGGAAUUUUAAAUAACAAUUUAUUUUAAAAGGUUUAAAUUUUACCAGCCUAAAGAAAGUGAGAAAAUAAAGCAAUUAAGUGUACUUUAAAAGGCAGGGCGGGUGGAGGGAGUAGGUUUCUUUGAUUUGAAUAAUCAGGAACGUUUUGUUUGUUGAACUUUACCAUCUGAGCGGUUCUCUGUCCCGGGAAAAGUGCACUCGCUCCGCACUGUGAUACAUACUUGUGACAAAUCUCAACGUUUGUCAUUGAAAUGGAACAAUAUUUGUGUAAAGCCUGAGAUGAAAAUAGUGAUAUUAGCUUAAGAACUACAAACUAGAAAGCUUUUCACUGUGAGACACAGUAUACUGCUUCUCGUCAUGUAUUUUCCAAGUACUUCUGAAGUGCGAAAGAGAAAAAACUUGCUAAUUUAUUUGACUGUACAAAUAAACUUUGAUAAUUUUUUUAUAUUUUCAUAAACUUACUUUUGCAAAUAUAAAAUUAGAGAAUUUCAUUUGUUCUUUGGAGUCUGUUCCAUUGUACGUCACUACAGAUUUUUCACUUUCUAGCACAAACGUUUAAGUUAUGAGAACACCGAGAACUUAGCAAUUUGGAGUGAUCGGUGUUAGAGACCCUGUCAGUAGGUUACGUUAAAGUGGCGACGAGUUCCAACAUCUAACGAGAUGUGAAGGUUUUUUUACGUGUAAAACAAAAAAAUUUUUCUAAUUUAAAUACAACAAAUGUAAAAAAUCAAGUGUGUUUCUUUAGGCUUACUUGAUAGAAAUUUCUGUAAAUUGUAUUUUAUAUUGCAAAGCAUUAUAUCACUGUACAUUAAAACAUGGAACUUCAUAGCUUUGUUACUUGAAGUAGAAUAAACAUCUACAGAAGG